UUUCCGUAGGCGAACCUGCGGAAGGAUCAUUACUGAGUGAGGGCCCCUCGGGGUCCAACCUCCCACCCGUGUUUAACGAACCUUGUUGCUUCGGCGGGCCCGCCUCACGGCCGCCGGGGGGCAUCUGCCCCCGGGCCCGCGCCCGCCGAAGCCACCUGUGAACGCUGUCUGAAGUAUGCAGUCUGAGACAAUUAUUAAAUUAAUUAAAACUUUCAACAACGGAUCUCUUGGUUCCG
RNAcentral lists this unclassified non-coding RNA (236 nucleotides) under plant metagenome. RNAcentral describes it as "partial contains small subunit ribosomal RNA, internal transcribed spacer 1, and 5.8S ribosomal RNA". The record is from RNAcentral.